Molecule: ribosomal RNA, 520 nt
Filed under: uncultured archaeon
Lineage: Archaea
Description: bacterial SSU rRNA
Rfam family: Archaeal small subunit ribosomal RNA
Source: RNAcentral
AGGGCCCCCCCUGGGCAAAGGGGUAACCCCAGGGGCCGCCGGAAAAAGGCGGCUUUUCCUUGGUCUAAAACCCCUAGGGAAUAAGAGGGGGGCAAGACUGGUGUCAGCCGCCCCGGUAACACCAGCCCCUCGAGUGGUGGGGAUGAUUAUUUGGCCUAAAGCGUCCGUAGCCGGGCCGGGUAAGUCUCCCGUUAAAUCCAGCGUCUCAAGCGUUGACUGCGGGAGAUACUGUCUGGCUAGAGAGUGGGGAGAGGUGUACGGUAUUCUGGGGGUAGGGGCGAAAUCACACUAGAACACGUCUGACGGUCAGGGACGAAAGCUGGGGUAGCGAACCGGAUUAGAUACCCGGGUAGUCCCAGCCGUAAACGAUGCACGCUAGGUGUUGGGGCGGGGCUCCGAGCCCCGAUUAGUGUCGGAGAGAAGUUGUUAAGCAAGCUGCCUGGGAAGUACGAUCGCAAGAUUGAAACUUAAAGGAAUUGGCGGGGGGAGCACAGCAACGGGUGGAGCGUGCGGUUUAAUU